GGGGCCUUAGCUCAGCUGGCAGAGCGCCUGCUUUGCAAGCAGGAAGUCAGGGGUUCGACUCCCCUAGGCUCCA
RNAcentral lists this transfer RNA (73 nucleotides) under Thermostaphylospora chromogena. RNAcentral's name for it is "Thermomonospora chromogena tRNA". It matches the Rfam family "tRNA". From Rfam's summary of the family: Transfer RNA (tRNA) molecules are approximately 80 nucleotides in length. Their secondary structure includes four short double-helical elements and three loops (D, anti-codon, and T loops). Further hydrogen bonds mediate the characteristic L-shaped molecular structure. tRNAs have two regions of fundamental functional importance: the anti-codon, which is responsible for specific mRNA codon recognition, and the 3' end, to which the tRNAs corresponding amino acid is attached (by aminoacyl-tRNA synthetases). tRNAs cope with the degeneracy of the genetic code in two manners: having more than one tRNA (with a specific anti-codon) for a particular amino acid; and 'wobble' base-pairing, i.e. permitting non-standard base-pairing at the 3rd anti-codon position. RNAcentral also lists the same sequence under 3 other names. The record is from Rfam by way of RNAcentral. Lineage: Bacteria; Bacillati; Actinomycetota; Actinomycetes; Streptosporangiales; Thermomonosporaceae.